Rhododendron vialii is the source of this 1092-nucleotide long non-coding RNA. RefSeq lists it as uncharacterized. NCBI's taxonomy places the organism in Eukaryota, Viridiplantae, Streptophyta, Magnoliopsida, Ericales, Ericaceae. The transcript has 2 exons. The record is from RefSeq and is a predicted model, not a curated record.
AGAAAUUUCCAGAUCUGGAGCAGCCCUCUCUCUCUCUCUAAAGUGCUCGCCGGUGCACUCCUUCUCGGUAACACCUCCCAACUCUGGGAGUCCAAUGGAAGAUGGUGAAUGGGUUCUGGUACAGCACCCCCAGUAAAGGACUCCUUUGAACUAACCACACUUGAUUCACAGAUUUCAAAUGCUCUCAAGGUGCGGUUCACCGGGCCAGCAAAGAACUGGACCGAUGCCAUUACGAUCGGCAACGGCCGACUCGGUGCCAUGGUGUUCGGCGGCGUUGCAUCCGAGACUCUCAAUCUCAAAGGAAUGACAAAAUCAAAAUAGAAAGGUAAAAAGUUGGUACUUGUGGAACGAGCAUAUAAUGCCCAGCUAAUAGUAAGGAUUGACCCUCCAGCACGGAUGAAAUGGUGAGAUGACCGGUGAUACGCACCUAAGAUUGCUUGAUCGUGGUGCUUAAGUCCGUUAGUUAGAAGUGCUUUUAGCUUUUAUUGUCGUUUUUAGUCGAUAUUGCUCGUGAGGUAGUUUGUUUAGUGUUUCAGGCAAAACGCCCUUAAAAGGCGUGUUUUGGAUGCAAAGUCAACCCCCAAGUUAAUUCAAGACUCAUCGCUCGGUGGAACUUGUGCCAAAGUGACCAAAGAACGAAGGCGAGGAGCAUCGGGCAAGCCAACGGUCGUCGGGUGUCAAGUUUUGGAGGCUGGCCUGAAGACCAGAGAUAAGCUCCCCGUAUCGAUACGGAUUUUGGACCGUAUCGAUACGCGUUUGUUAUCUUUCCAAUCAGAGAGUCCCGUAUCGAUACGGCCAUAAUCUGUAUCGAUACGGGAUUGUUACGGGAGAUUGGCCUUUUCAGCUUAACGAUGUGGUAUCGAUACUUUGCUUAUUCUGUAUCGAUACGGAGAGCUUCCGACCAGAUAUUUUGCUACUUUUUGGACUUUCCAUUUAUGGAAUACUUGCUACUUAUAGUAUGUUUUUAGAUAUUUGAGGAGAGAGAAACCCAUUGUGUAUAAAUAGGGGUCUCCUCUCUCCCCUUUGUUAUCUAGGUCUUUAAUAGCUUUUAAUUUUCCUCCAUUAAUGGUUUUUCAAGCUUUUCUAGUGUAA